This 483-nucleotide ribosomal RNA is filed under the name uncultured bacterium. Its description in RNAcentral is "bacterial SSU rRNA". It matches the Rfam family "Bacterial small subunit ribosomal RNA", at positions 26 to 518 of the family's 1533-position model. The record is from RNAcentral.
AGGACGAACGCUGGCGGCGUGCCUAACACAUGCAAGUCGAGCGGAGAUAACGUGCUUCGGCGUGUUAUUCAGCGGCGGACGGGUGAGUAACGCGUGAAGGACCUGCCCCUUACAGAGGGAUAACAUCGAGAAAUCGGUGCUAAUACCGCAUAAGACCACGGUGCUGCAUGGCAUUGAGGUAAAAGGAGAAAUCCGGUAAGGGAUGGCUUCGCGUCCCAUUAGAUAGUAGGCGGGGUAACGGCCCACCUAGUCGACGAUGGGUAGCCGACCUGAGAGGGUGAUCGGCCACACUGGAACUGAGACACGGUCCGGACUCCUACGGGAGGCAGCAGUGGGGAAUAUUGGGCAAUGGGCGAAAAAGCCUUACCCAGCAACGCCGCGUGAGAGAAGAAGGUUUUCGGAUUGUAAGUCUCUGUCCUGGGGGACGAAGAAAGUGACGGUACCCCGGGAGGAAGCCCCGGCUAACUACGUGCCAGCAGCAGC